GAACGGGUGAGUAACACGUGGGAAACCUACCUCUUAGCAGGGGAUAACAUUUGGAAACAGAUGCUAAUACCGUAUAACAAUGACAACCGCAUGGUUGUUAUUUAAAAGAUGGUUCUGCUAUCACUAAGAGAUGGUCCCGCGGUGCAUUAGCUAGUUGGUAAGGUAAUGGCUUACCAAGGCAAUGAUGCAUAGCCGAGUUGAGAGACUGAUCGGCCACAAUGGGACUGAGACACGGCCCAUACUCCUACGGGAGGCAGCAGUAGGGAAUCUUCCACAAUGGGCGAAAGCCUGAUGGAGCAACGCCGCGUGUGUGAUGAAGGGUUUCGGCUCGUAAAACACUGUUGUAAGAGAAGAAUGACAUUGAGAGUAACUGUUCAAUGUGUGACGGUAUCUUACCAGAAAGGAACGGCUAAAUACGUGCCAGCAGCCGCGGUAAUACGUAUGUUCCAAGCGUUAUCCGGAUUUAUUGGGCGUAAAGCGAGCGCAGACGGUUAUUUAAGUCUGAGGUGAAAGCCCUCAGCUCAACUGAGGAAUUGCUUUGGAAACUGGAUGACUUGAGUGCAGUAGAGGAAAGUGGAACUCCAUGUGUAGCGGUGAAAUGCGUAGAUAUAUGGAAGAACACCAGUGGCGAAGGCGGCUUUCUGGACUGUAACUGACGUUGAGGCUCGAAAGUGUGGGUAGCAAACAGGAUUAGAUACCCUGGUAGUCCACACCGUAAACGAUGAGUGCUAGGUGUUUGAGGGCUUCCGCCCUUAAGUGCCGCAG
This 765-nucleotide ribosomal RNA is filed under the name uncultured Weissella sp. RNAcentral's name for it is "bacterial SSU rRNA". It matches the Rfam family "Bacterial small subunit ribosomal RNA", at positions 100 to 851 of the family's 1533-position model. Lineage: Bacteria; Bacillati; Bacillota; Bacilli; Lactobacillales; Lactobacillaceae. The record is from RNAcentral.